This 497-nucleotide ribosomal RNA is filed under the name uncultured bacterium. RNAcentral describes it as "partial 16S ribosomal RNA". It matches the Rfam family "Bacterial small subunit ribosomal RNA", at positions 28 to 507 of the family's 1533-position model. The record is from RNAcentral.
GAUGAACGCUGGCGGCGUGCCUAAUACAUGCAAGUCGAGCGAACGGACGAGAAGCUUGCUUCUCUGAUGUUAGCGGCGGACGGGUGAGUAACACGUGGAUAACCUACCUAUAAGACUGGGAUAACUUCGGGAAACCGGAGCUAAUACCGGAUAAUAUUUUGAACCGCAUGGUUCAAAAGUGAAAGACGGUCUUGCUGUCACUUAUAGAUGGAUCCGCGCUGCAUUAGCUAGUUGGUAAGGUAACGGCUUACCAAGGCAACGAUGCAUAGCCGACCUGAGAGGGGGAUCGCCCACACUGGAACGGGGACACGGUCCAGACCCCUACGGGAGGCAGCAGUAGGGAAUCUUCCGCAAUGGGCGAAAGCCUGACGGAGCAACGCCACGUGAGUGAUGAAGGUCUUCGGAUCGUAAAACUCUGUUAUUAGGGAAGAACAUAUGUGUAAGUAACUGUGCACAUCUUGACGGUACCUAAUCAGAAAGCCACGGCUAACUACGUG